AGAGUUUGAUCAUGGCUCAGAAUCAACGCUGGCGGCGUGCCUAACACAUGCAAGUCGAACGCGAAAGCCCCUUCGGGGGUAAGUAGAGUGGCGUCCGGGUGAGUAACACGUGGGUAAUCUACCUUCGGGUGGGGAAUAACAACUCGAAAGAGUUGCUAAUACCGCAUAAUGCAGCGGCACCUUAUGGUGAAUAGUUGUUAAAGCGGGGGAUCGCAAGACCUCGCGCCUGAAGAGGAGCCUGCGGCAGAUUAGCUUGUUGGUGAGGUAAUGGCUCACCAAGGCUUCGAUCUGUAGCUGGUCUGAGAGGACGGCCAGCCACACUGGCACUGACACACGGGCCAGACUCCUACGGGAGGCAGCAGUGGGGAAUUUUGGGCAAUGGGCGAAAGCCUGACCCAGCAACGCCGCGUGAGGGAGGAAAUCCUUCGGGAUGUAAACCUCGCAAGCAAGGGAAGAAUGCCCAGGAUUUAAUACAUCCUGGGAGAGACGGUACCUUGCGUAAGCCACGGCUAACUACGUGCUAGCAGCCGCGGUAAUAC
Molecule: ribosomal RNA, 539 nt
Filed under: uncultured bacterium
Lineage: Bacteria
Description: bacterial SSU rRNA
Rfam family: Bacterial small subunit ribosomal RNA
Source: RNAcentral